This 70-nucleotide transfer RNA is filed under the name Caudoviricetes sp. RNAcentral describes it as "tRNA-Lys". It matches the Rfam family "tRNA". From Rfam's summary of the family: Transfer RNA (tRNA) molecules are approximately 80 nucleotides in length. Their secondary structure includes four short double-helical elements and three loops (D, anti-codon, and T loops). The record is from RNAcentral. Lineage: Duplodnaviria; Heunggongvirae; Uroviricota; Caudoviricetes.
AUUAGCCACUAAGGAGAGCAACUGACUCUUAAUCAGUGGGUCCUGGGUUCGAGUCCCCGAUGGUGCACCA